UACGAACCGUGCGAACGUUGUUCGGAAUCACUGGGCUUAAAGGGCGCGUAGGCGGGUGACCAAGUCAGGGGUGAAAUCUUUCGGCCCAACCGGAAAAGUGCCUCUGAUACUGGUCGUCUUGAGGGAGGUAGGGGUCGAGGGAACUGGUGGUGGAGCGGUGAAAUGCGUAGAUAUCACUAGGAACGCCGGUGGCGAAAGCGCUCGACUGGACCUCUUCUGACGCUGAGGCGCGAAAGCCAGGGGAGCAAACGGG
RNAcentral lists this ribosomal RNA (253 nucleotides) under uncultured bacterium. RNAcentral's name for it is "partial 16S ribosomal RNA". It matches the Rfam family "Bacterial small subunit ribosomal RNA", at positions 524 to 776 of the family's 1533-position model. The record is from RNAcentral.